Molecule: ribosomal RNA, 822 nt
Filed under: Gastrotheca riobambae (Riobamba marsupial frog)
Lineage: Eukaryota; Metazoa; Chordata; Amphibia; Anura; Hemiphractidae
Description: partial 16S ribosomal RNA
Rfam family: Bacterial large subunit ribosomal RNA
Source: RNAcentral
UAUCAACAUUUUAUAAUAACCCUUCAACAGUACUGAGUUAUUCUAUAUCCCUAUAGAAUUUAUUAUGUUAAAACUAGUAACAAGAAGAAGACCUUCUCUUAAAUGCACCUAUAAUUCAGAAAGGACACACCACUGAUAAUUAACGCCUAUGACCUCAAAGUAAAAACUCAGCAAGAAAAACUUACUGGUUACAACGUUAACCUAACACAAGAGCAUUCCAAGAAAGAUUAAAAGAAAAAGAAGGAACUCGGCAAACAUUAACCCCGCCUGUUUACCAAAAACAUCGCCUCUUGAAAAACAUAAGAGGUCCAGCCUGCCCAGUGACAUCUGUUCAACGGCCGCGGUAUCCUAACCGUGCGAAGGUAGCGUAAUCACUUGUCCUUUAAAUGGGGACUAGUAUGAAUGGCAUCACGAGGGUUAUACUGUCUCCUUUUUCCAAUCAGUUAAACUAAUCUCCCCGUGAAGAAGCGGGGAUACACCUAUAAGACGAGAAGACCCUAUGGAGCUUCAAACAAACAGCAUUUGCUAUAACAUACAUCAAUCUCAGGAAACUAAUCUUUAUUUUAGCAUUCUACCUGUAAGUUUUAGGUUGGGGUGACCGCGGAGUAAAAAUUAACCUCCACAUUGAAGGGGAUCUUCCCUAAGCAAAAAGUCACAACUUUAAGCAUCAAUAAAUUGACAUCAAUUGACCCAAUAUUUUGAUCAACGAAACAAGUUACCCUAGGGAUAACAGCGCAAUCCACUUCAAGAGCCCUUAUCGACAAGUGGGUUUACGACCUCGAUGUUGGAUCAGGGUAUCCCAGUGGUGCAGCCGCUACUAAA